CAGUCAGAGAACAUGAUUGCUACUUCCUCAGUUAUUCUUUCACUUGUACAAGUAAUUAAUGUCUUUCUUGGAACUCUUUUCUAGAGCUAGGAGUCUUACCCAAAUCUCAUUUGAGUCAACAGGAUGACUUUAAUGGAUUUCUAUGGAUUUCAGUCGUUACACAAUCAUUCAUUGGUAUCACAUCUUGAAAGCAGUCCAUCAGAUUUUAUUGCUAACAAAAUUGUCCAUGCUAAAAAUCAAACCAUAGCUUUUGGUUGCUUCUUGCCUAACAAAACUGGUUUUGUCCUAAAGAUGGAGUUCUAUAGUAGGGCAGUACUUAUUAGAAGCAUGAUUAGAAAAAAAUAUAUAUCAUAAAUGGAGAAAACAUCUCAUUUUAGGGAAGGAGGUUAAAAUCACCUGCCCUGACCCACCGUUAUUUUGUUGUCCCAUGUUGGAUGAAUUGCUGAGAUACAAAGGGGGUGUGAGAACAAAAACAUAUCUGAAAAUUUGGAUUUUUUUUCUUAGGUUUUGAGAUUUGUUUUUGUUUUACUUUGCACAUUAAUUAUCAGGUGUGGGAUUUUCUUUUUGAGGAUAAAGUAUUUUUCUUAUUUGUGUUACUAUUAAAACUAAAUAAGCAUCAUCCGGUGAUGAAGUAUUACUGGAAGUAAAAGGUUUAAUCUUCUAAAAUAUAGCAACCCAUUGUUUUCCCUUUGGAGUUGGUGCCUGUUUUAUUUAUGAGUGAAGGUAAAGAUCACGAGUUAUUUCCAAACAGAUAAACAAAGGAAUCAGUUCAUAAACUCAGGAAAAUCAUGUUUACUUUAAUGCAUAUUCUGACUACUCAUGCAUUAUCCGUCUUAUUUAGAAUUGCUGAAAGUUCUUUUCAUCCGCCUCCCCCCUUUACAUUUGUUGCAGUGGAAAUGUUACUUUUCUUACUUCAGUGGAAAGCCCUGUAAGAUUAAUAGUUUCACUGUUUCAUUACAGUAUAAUUCUAAAAGUGAUUAGAGAAUUCUAAGGAAACUUUAUAGCAGAAUCAAUAUAAUAAUUCUAAUUUAUAUGCGUAUUUAUAAACUUGCUGGGAAAAGUCUCUGCUCAUAGGUAAAUAACUUGCUUUUUUAGGCUUGAAUGAAUAAUAGAAGCUGCUGUGAGAGUGAAUAAAAUUAAACAAAGACAUUCACUAAUGCACUGAAGAUGGGGAACAAAAGUAAUUCAUCUACUGUAGGUCAUAAAAAGGAUAACCAUAUGUAGAGAGCAGUAAGAAUGCUAAAACCUGUAACUUGAUGUUACUUGUGAGACAAAUAGUGCCGUAAAACCCAGCAGAGCAUAAGUGCAUGGACAGUAGAAAUAUUCAUUAUAAAGUAACGUGGCAUUUCAUUUAUGGAAAGUACAAAACUUUUAAGAAUCCUCUUGCCUUUUUCUUCUGCUAGAGCAAAACUGUGACAUCUUAAUGAAACAAUAUUUUGGUUUUAAAAAAAGUAAGAAUACUAAUGUUGAACCAUGGUAAUAGGAAGUACUAUGAAAUGGGCUUAAGACUUAACUGCAGUUCUAUAAGAUACUCAAAUUUAUCUUCUACAUUAUAGAAGACUAGAAGUUCUUCCAGUAAAUUCAGAUUUUACUCAUCUUUCUCUCAUUUUGCUUAUUUGGUUGAUGAUGCCUCGGUCAAUAUUAAGUUAAAAUAGCUGAUAGAUAUUAAGAUGUCUAUGUCAUAGAAAAUUGUGGGUUUAAUUUUUUACUGGAAAUAAUUGCAUUGUGAUUCUUCAGUGCAAAUUAGAAAUCUAACUGUGCAGUAGUUUUUAUAGCACUUAGCCAUUAAAAGCACAUUCAGAAUGAAAUGGGACUAACUAUAACAUUUGGAAAAAGUGAACCAGCUGCCUUCAUUUCCAGGUCCUGCAGAGCUGUGGGGCUAAAAAAAACUGAGAAAUAGCUGGGAGAAACACUCACUUGAAAGUGUUUUGAUGGAAGCUGAUCUUUUCAUUUUAGUUUGUGUUGUUGCUUUUUAAAUUUUUUUUAUUGAUUUAUUUUUUUUGUUAGAAUAUGCUUACUGAUUCUGAAUUUAGGAUUUCUUAGGAAAAUGGAGUAAUAUCAGUGAUUAAUAUGCUUAGAACAAUUGUAUAUUCAUUUAAGUGUAGGAAAAGAGAAGAUGAAGUUAUUCUUUGUGGCAAGUGUCGCUUCUAAGUAUGUGAAAUAUAAACAUUUAUUAACUAAUCAGAGGAAGAAAAAAAUGAUUUGUUAAAAAUAAAGGAAGUAUCUUCUGUCAAAGGCUUUAAAGCUUUUUUUUCUCAUCUGAAUGAUGUUUCAGAACGGCUGAUAUAGGUUAAAUUUAUGAAAGCUCUAAGGUAGAGAUUUUAUUUCCAUGUAUGUAUGUAGUGGAACUUCAGGGUCUUUUCUUUCUUUCUUUUUUUUUCCCUCCAUUAAUGUUUUAGUUUUAACUAAUACACUUAAUCUACUGGAAUAAGUGGAAAUAAAGCAAUGAAUUCCAGGUCAUUAAGUAAUGAAUACCAAAUGUAUGACAAACUUAUGCUAUUCUUUCCUCAGUUUCCAAGUUAGUCGUUUUUGUGUGGCAUCAACUUGAUUGUUCUACAGCAAUCUUUGGGCUUUGUAAAUUCAUAACAUCUUUGUGAUUAUGAAUAUACAAAUGUUUUUUCAAAGAUUUAUUUUAGGUUAAUUCUAUACUUAAAUUGAUGUGAUUAAAGGAGAUCUGUGUGAACAUAUGGAACAGCUGCUGGGAUGGGCUUCUCAAAUACUAACACAGAUAAUAAACUUGAAGUAAGAGUUAUCUAGUGAAGGUAAAGUACCCCGUCUGGGUGCAGGUCUGCUUCCUUGCAUGAGCAGUAACAGGGCUGCUGUGAUCAAGAAAGCAUUUUACAAGUCAUUUCAGAAGCUUAAAAAUCUGAAAUAGGGAUUACUUAGUUGCACUUGCAAAUUUUUGUAAACUUCUCUGUUGCAAAAAUAUUUGUAAGGUCUAGACAUCAAUAACAAUAAUAGUAGCAGCAACAUGGGUGCAACUAUGCCUUUAUGGCAGUUCUCUAUGAAAUGGUGAGCUAAUAUUUUAUUAUAUUUCAAUCAUUCACAGUACUUCCAUUGGCUUCUGUGGUUUUUGAACAUAGCCUUUUUCAGCUACCUAUAGAACUCUGUAACAGAAUAACUUCCAUUUUUUCUAAUUAACAUUCUUCUUUUUAGAAGGGUGUUUUACCUUGGAGCUGCUGGAUUAAUGAUUGUAUUAUUGAGCAAAUUAAUGUUUCUUACCACUGUAUCUUGCUCACUGACAGAAGAAAAAAUCUUUUAAGAUGAAUGAGGACAUAUAUGACAUUUUUUAUGGGCAGAGAUCACCUGUCCUCAUGAACAUGCAGCUCUUAUAUCUGAACUUCAAUUAUUUCCCAUUCUGCAAGUAUGGUAUAUUAAGGCAAAGUGAAUUUAGGAUUUUUCAGAAGAUAGAUGUAGAUACCAUUCACAAAUUUAUAUUUAAAUAUGGAAAAUCUUGCAUAGCAUUUCUCAUCUGAAAUUCAACUGUGUAGUCAACAGAUCCUUGUGAAGCCUUACAACGAGCACUGACAGUACUUUAUGUAGAAUAAAUUCUGUUUGCUAUGUAUUUAGGAAGUGUACUGGAGUCUAAAGGUAGAGGGACUAUGAACAUGUAUAAAUAAGUUAUUUAUAAAUGUUAGCAGUUCAUAUACAAAACAGUCAUGACUGUUUUUUAGGCAGCUGCUACUCUCAGGGCCCCUUACGUUACUGUGUUGUAUGAGACUUGUUCCACCCCAUGGUGAGGCCUGAGUGAUGUUGCUGCUGUUUUCCAGCCCAUGAAGUUGGCACCCUGGCACAGCAUAAGUAGUCCCCAUGCUUUUUCUUGAGGGAAUCUGUCUCUUCCAGGUAUUGUACUGUAUUGUUACAGUUAGGGUUUGUCUCUGCAUGUGUCAUGAAAGAUCAAAAAGACCCCUGAUCUGUCACAUGUUAAUCCAUUAAAGGUAAAAUAUGUUGUUCAGAGUUGGAUUUCUUUUGGGGCAGAAUGUGCUAUAUCUAAAAUAGGCAAGUAAUAACUUUGUAUCAUUAAUCAUUUAUAGGCUAGUAGGAGAAUACAGGAUCAACUUAAUCCUUUUGGACAUUGAUGAGUGCAUGCUGCCACUUUAAAUAAUGGCAUAAAAGGUAUCACUGCUACCUAGUAUGGAUUUACCAUAGUAAAUGAGUUUGAGUUACUGUACGCAUUUUGCUUUCCAUACCCUGUUAUCAAUAACAGUCCUCAGGCUUCACAAAGGGCAGUACAAGCAGGAAAAGAAUAAUUGCCAUUCUGCAUGGAGCCAGUUUAUUGAUGAGGUGGACAGAAGUAAUAUUUUUAGCCUGCUGGGUGUCCAUCUGUAAGCAGUUUCCUGGAGCUGCCACUUCUCCUUUCUCUGGAAACUGUUAUGGCUUUGUCUGCCCAAGUGAAAUAAUGAACCCUCAGAAAGUGUGUUGAGCACUACUUGAAGCUGUAGUGCCUUCUCACUACAUUACAACAAUUUACUUUCUUGUCCUAGCUGUACUUCCAUCUUUGAGGUUUUUUGUUAUUCUUUCAUGGGGAUUUUCAAUGAAUGAGGGAACAGCUGUGCCAGAUGCUGCCUGAGCUAUGUAGUCCUCUUUGCCAUUGAUAUGGUAAUACAAGGAUUUGCUUUUUUUUUUUUUCUUCUCAGAAUACUGGUAUGCUAUGGCAUUUUGUUUUUGUGUACAAUCUUACCAUUUGUAUAAUGAAGAGGCACUGUAAUCCAGAUAUUAUUCAUCUACUUAAACAGGUUUGUGUGCUAUUUCCAUGAGUAAAACAUGUGAGUUCAUUUUUUUCAGGGCACAGAUGGCAUAUGAAAAUAAAUCUGAAGAGCCAACUAGAUAGAAACAUUAAAAAUCUGGCUUUGUACGGCACACACACAGGCAUACAUACACAAAUGGCUCCAAGAAAUCAUCCAAUUCCUAAUAUUUCAUUAGCUUUUAGUGCAUUAAAGGUUUGAGCACUGAGGAUGAUCCAGAACAGCAUAGUCAGCCUUCUCAGAAAAUGUCUGGGAAAUGCCUAGUGAUAGAAAAAUAAGUGAUGCCUUAGAUCUUGGGAAUCUGUCUGUCUGGUGAUGAAUAAUGCUGUAGGAAUGGCUCAAGCACUGGAUCAUUGCCAUCUACCCCUCUGAAAUGCAGUCAGAUUCCAUCGCGGAGAGUCUCAUUUGCUUUUUAAAAAGAAGAAGAAUCUCUGUUGUGAAGGAAAAGGUUAAGAGGCUUCAGAACUGAAGUGUGAAGAAAGGAAAACAAGAUGAGGAAGAGAUAAAGCCAAGAAGAAAAUGUCUUCCUGUGCGUUUCUCUCCAGAUCAAAUCAAUUUCUAUCUGCCCUAAGUUAAACAAUUGUUAGAUGACAUUUUAUGCAGAUGAAUCAACAUGUUCUCAAUUAUAUUUGUAUAUACAAUAUGUAACAUGCAGUCAGCAUUUUAACUAGAAUUUUUUUAGCAAGCUGCUCUGAGCUCUCCCACAGAUAUGUCAUAGAGAGAAGUCUGUAUGUUUUGAGUAAGUGUGAAUUAGAGAGGCAGAUGUAUAACCUGGGAAGAUUUCCAGAUUCAUCUUUCUUAAAAGUGGAUGUGUUUAGCACUGGCUAUGCUUAACAGGAUUAUUCUUUGAGUUGCAAGCCUUUAGAACAUCAUUACCAUGAUCAUAAUUCAGAAAUAAGUCCAGACUCACCAACAGAUAUAUUUGAGUCCUGGCCUCAGCUUCAGGAAUUGGUAAGUCUUCAAGAAGAGAAUGUUUUUGCUGCUCUCUGGUUAUUUCUGUCUUAACAGUAGGAAGCCAAAUACUCAGCUAGUAAGAAUUGGCACAACUCCAUUCAAUUUAAUGCUUAGCUAACAAUCUACAUAGAAAAUAGCACACUUAUUAGUCACAAAUUUCUUAAGCAUCUGAAAUUAUGAAAAGCUCCCCUGCUUUUCUGUCUUUUGUUUUCCCAUCUGCUUGCAAGUUUAUGUCUUUAACCUCUAUCCUUUAUUACCUUCAUAUUGUUCAUUGCUGCCACACUGCCUUUUUCUCUGAAGCAGCAACAGCUUCAUAUGAAAAGCUGGUCCUCACUCCCGGAUCUCAGUAUAGUUCAUUUAGUCUGAACUUCAAUACAAUUUCUUUCAAAGCUAUCUAUGCAAAGUACCUUACUGUAGGAUCAUACUCUUAUUUCAGUAGGACUGGAACUAAAUGACAAUGUCAACAUAAACAUACAAUUUCAAAGCAAUCUCUCAUGUACAUUGCAACAUACCACAAAGGAUUUCAAUAUUCACUUCUGUAGUUUUAGUAAUAUCUCUCUGGGAAAAGGUUGCUCAUUACUCAAAGUACACAUUCACUCUAGACUGGCAAAAACUCAACAAGACUCCUACAGAAGGUUAUGUUCUCAAGUUUCCUAAGUAAAGAUAUGCUUGGAGAUUCCGGGCCCUCAAAUUCUAAACUUUGAGUAUCAGAUGAGAAAUAUAAUUUCCCAAAUAUGUGUAAAUUUUUUUUAAAGUGUGGAUUCUCAUAAAAUGGAAGCUAGAAUGUACAAGGGCUGCACUGAAAUUAAUGUUUUCUUUAUUAUGUUGGGACGCAACAUCAGAGGUGGAUGUUGGUGGUAUGGCAAUAGAGGCUGAACCUUUCUGCCAGUAUUCUGUUACAUUCUGUAAAGGUGUGGCAAAUGGCAGCAGAGGGGCAGUCUGACAAAGUGGUGUCAGACAUGGAAAUGCAUAUGAGACAAAGGUAUGUAAUUUAAUUCCUCAGUGUAUAAAAAAAAAAAAAAAAAAAGGCACCCAUUCAUCAAUGUUUGCUGAACAUUUCUGGAGACUGAACAGUGGAUGUGAGCACAGUGGGGCAGUGGGUGGUGUAUUUCAGUGCUGGCAAUGGUAACUUGAAAGCCAAGCUACGUUCCAGACACCCGUG
RNAcentral lists this long non-coding RNA (6861 nucleotides) under Gallus gallus (chicken). The record is from RNAcentral. Lineage: Eukaryota; Metazoa; Chordata; Aves; Galliformes; Phasianidae.